RNAcentral lists this ribosomal RNA (446 nucleotides) under uncultured bacterium. RNAcentral describes it as "partial 16S ribosomal RNA". It matches the Rfam family "Bacterial small subunit ribosomal RNA", at positions 338 to 795 of the family's 1533-position model. The record is from RNAcentral.
CCUACGGGCGGCAGCAGUCGAGAAUCAUUCACAAUGGGGGAAACCCUGAUGGUGCGACGCCGCGUGGGGGAAUGAAGGCCUUCGGAUUGUAAACCCCUGUCAUGUGGGAGCAAAUUAAAAAGAUAGUACCACAAGAGGAAGAGACGGCUAACUCUGUGCCAGCAGCCGCGGUAAUACAGAGGUCUCAAGCGUUGUUCGGAAUCACUGGGCGUAAGGCGUGCGUAGGCUGUUUCGUAAGUCGUGUGUGAAAGGCGCGGGCUCAACCCGCGGACGGCACAUGAUACUGCGAGACUAGAGUAAUGGAGGGGGAACCGGAAUUCUCGGUGUAGCAGUGAAAUGCGUAGAUAUCGAGAGGAACACUCGUGGCGAAGGCGGGUUCCUGGACAUUAACUGACGCUGAGGCACGAAGGCCAGGGGAGCGAAAGGGAUUAGAUACCCCGGUAGUC